UAGAAAGAAGCUCGUAGGUUAGAGAAUUUAGCUGUUAACUAAGUUUUUGUGGGAUCAAGGCCCACCUUUCUAG
This 73-nucleotide transfer RNA is filed under the name Cardioglossa leucomystax (silver long-fingered frog). RNAcentral's name for it is "tRNA-Asn". Lineage: Eukaryota; Metazoa; Chordata; Amphibia; Anura; Arthroleptidae. The record is from RNAcentral.